Long non-coding RNA from Diachasma alloeum, 472 nucleotides. RefSeq lists it as uncharacterized. The transcript has 2 exons. NCBI's taxonomy places the organism in Eukaryota, Metazoa, Arthropoda, Insecta, Hymenoptera, Braconidae. The record is from RefSeq and is a predicted model, not a curated record.
CGAGCGAGUUCAUCUUCCGGAUGUAGAGUACUCCGCUGUCCUGUACUCGCUCAAGACCCCCGCAUCGAAUUUUCUCUGCAAAUUUUCUUGAUAAUUGGUGAGGCAAAAUGUUCGCGAUACAAAAUGCUGUGAGACAUGGACUCGUUGUGAGUCGGCAAGCCGGACAGUGCAGGACAUUGCUUGUGGCACCUCCAAAAAACAGAGUUCCGUUAUACGAAAGAGUUGCAUUCGGGAUUUGCAUUGCGAUUGGCGUACUCUUCACCCCAGCAUGGAUUGCAUGUCAUUUCAAAGUAUAUACUGGUAAAGAGCCACAAGGGAAAUGAAUUACCACGAUAACUCUAGCACCACUCUAAUCUAGAUAAUUUCUAAAAAAGCUAUUAAUUCAAGUGCUGCUGUGAUUAAAACAAACGUCUACGAUAUAAUUUAUUCAACACAGAUGUAGAACGAGGGAAUUAAAUCUCUUAUAUAUAUU